Oncorhynchus keta (chum salmon) is the source of this 5996-nucleotide RNA transcript. It is a transcript of the gene named mitochondrial intermediate peptidase, with no coding region annotated. The transcript has 19 exons. The record is from RefSeq and is a predicted model, not a curated record. NCBI's taxonomy places the organism in Eukaryota, Metazoa, Chordata, Actinopteri, Salmoniformes, Salmonidae.
GCGCACAUCACAGAAGAAGCGAACGAGACCAAAAAGACAACAUGAGAACAAGCUGACAUAAACGCUCAUAACGAAAAAUACAAAAAAAAUAGAUUAUGUAAUACAUGCAUUUCGAAUAUCGCGCAUAAACUUACAUGUGAAAUAAUCGAUUUAAUUCGAUAUAUCGCCCAGCCCUAUGGAUAGGGUCUAGUCGCGAAAGUGCAGACACGAAACAUCGGAACCAUUUUGAGAAUUGUAAACAUUCGUCAUUCAUGCUUGGCAGUGCUCGUUUUAGCUCAAUGGCAGUGGUGGGCUACAAGCUAGUUAACCGAAUAAUUAUAGAAAGACAGUAAAAUAAAGACACAUUUAAAAUCAAAUACUUUUUUUGUAUUAUGAAAGUAUCAGCAUGGAUGCAAAGCAAAAGCUUAAAACGUGCUUGCUUAUUAUAGAGAUAAUCAUUUAGAGCGAGCCAAGUUACUUCCCACGGAAUUUUCACUUUGACCGACCUUUCUUUUUCUUUCCACGACAAUCAGUUGAAGUUGUUAUGAUGUUGGCGUGUCAACGAUUUGUGAGUGUUGUGAGGAACUCAAGGACACUAUCACGACAUGUCACUACUUGGUCUCCGGUUGGAGCAGCAUUCAAUGCCCAGCAGAGGAAAGUUGAUUUGUUUCAGAAGAACGUGGGAUUAUUCGGGGUUCCAGGGUUGAGUACUCCGGCUGGUUUCGAGGUGGCUCAGCAACGAGCGCUCAGGGAAACAGAACAGUUGGUAGAAACAGCCUGCAAUAACCCACCAGGCGCCCUGACCGUGGAGACCUUCGAUCAACUUUCUGACAGCCUUUGCAAAGUGGCAGAUUUGGCAGAUUUUGUCAAAGUUGGCCAUCCAGACCCUGCCUUUCGGGAUGCUGCUGAGAAGGCAUGCAUAAACAUUGGCACAGUAGUAGAAAGGCUGAACACUAAUGUUGAACUGUGUAGGAGUCUCAAGAACCUACUAGAUAACAAAGAGGUUCUGGAUUCUUUGGACCCAGAUACAAGGAGAGUAGCAGAACUGUUCAUGUUUGAUUUUGAGAUCAGUGGCAUUCAUCUGGAUGAAUCAAAGAGAGGGAAGGCGGUGAGCCUCAAUGUCAACCUGCUGGAUCUGAACAAUGAAUUUCUAAAUGGCACCCACCUGCCCAAUAGGAUAGAGAAGAUGGCCCUGCCAGAACACAUCCGACACUGCUUCUCCAUAGACGGCAACUCCAUCCAGAUUGGAGGUCUCCAUGCAGAUUCUCCUGAUGAACUGGUGCGGGAGGCUGCUUAUAAAAUCUUUCUCUUCCCGAAUUCAAGUCUGCUGCUUUGUCUGGAUGACCUGUUGACUUGUAGGAAUGAGCUAGCCAAAUUAGUGGGCUAUGAAUCUUUUGCACACAGGGCUUUAAAUGGAACUAUGGCCAAGACUCCAGUAUGUUUUUGUUUUGUAGAGACUGUCAUGAAAUUCCUUGAAUUGCUGACAGACAAACUCUCGGACAGAACUGCCAAAGAUUUUAACCUGAUGAGGGAUAUGAAGAUGAAAAUGAACUCAAGAAGCACCGUACUCAUGCCAUGGGACCACUCCUACUUCAGCAGCGCUGUGCGGGCAGAGAGGUAUAAGAUCGAUCCCAGCCUGUACAGUCCUUACUUCUCCUUAGGGGCCUGCAUGGAGGGCCUCAACAUGCUGUUCAGCCAGCUGCUGGGAGUCUCCUUCCGGAAUGAACAGCCCAUGGCAGGAGAGGUGUGGAGUGAAGAAGUCCGCAAGUUGGCUGUUGUCCAUGAGACCGAGGGUCUUCUGGGAUACAUCUACUGUGACUUCUUCCAAAGGCCUGACAAACCACACCAGGAUUGCCACUUCACCAUCCAAGGGGGGCGUCUUAAGAAGGAUGGGGAAUACCAACAUCCUGUGGUGGUGCUGAUGCUGAGCCUGCCCCCUCCCACACGUAGCACCCCAACACUGCUCAACCCCGGCAUGAUGGAGAACCUGUUCCACGAGAUGGGCCACGCCAUGCAUUCCAUGCUGGGACGCACGCGUUACCAACAUGUCACAGGAACUAGAUGCUCCACUGACUUUGCUGAAGUCCCCUCCAUCCUCAUGGAGUUCUUUGCCACAGACUAUCGGGUGGUAAAUCAGUUUGCACGGCACUAUCAGACCGGACAGCCCCUGCCCAAGAGCAUGGUCUCUCGCCUUUGUGAAUCCAAGAGAAUCUGUGGGGCUGCCGACACUCAGCUUCAGGUUUUUUAUGCUGCUUUGGAUCAAGUGUAUCAUGGCAAGCCACAAAAUCGGUCAACGACAGACAUUCUAAAAAAGAUGCAAGAGAAAUUCUAUGGACUACCUUACGUUCCAAAUACUGCCUGGCAGCUGAGAUUCAGCCACCUCAUUGGGUACGGUGCUAAGUACUACUCAUACCUCAUGUCGCGUGCCAUAGCCUCCAUGGUGUGGAGGCAGUGCUUUCAAAAAGACCCCUUCAACAGGUUGGCCAGUUGAGAACAAGUACUCAUCUAUAACUGCGACCUGGCCAAGAUAAAGCAAAGCAGUGCGACACAAACAACACAGUUACACGUGGCAUAAACAAACGUGCAGUCAGUAACACAAUAAAAAUAAAUUAUAUACAGUGUAUGCAAAUGUAGUAAGAUGAGGGAGGUAAGGCAAUAAAUAGGCCAUGGUGGCGAAAUAAUGACAUUUUAUCAAUUAAACACUGGAGUGAUAGAUGUGCAUUAGAUGAAUGUGCAGAGAUACUGGGGUACAAUUAAUUGUACAGUUCAUUCCAGUAAUUGGCAGCAGAGAACUGGAACAGGGGAGUUGGCUUUGGGGAUGACCAGUGAAAUAUACCUGCAAGAGCGUGUGCUACGGGUGGGUGCUGCUAUGAUGACCAGUGAUCUGAGAUAAGGCAGGGCUUUACUUACUUACUUUUACUUUACUUUACUACUUUACCUGUGUUUGGCGUCUAAUAUGAAGCGAGGGCCAGCCAACAAGAGCAUACAGGUUGCAGUGGUGGGUAGUAGAGUGGGGCAACAAAAGUAUUUAGUCAGCCACCAAUUGUGCAAGUUCUCCCACUUAAAAAGAUGAGAGACCUGUCAUUUUCAUCAUAGGUACACUUAACUAUGACAGACAAAAUGAGAAGAAAAAAAAUCCAGAAAAUCACAUUGUAGGAUUUUUAAUGAAUUAAUUUGCAAAUUAUGGUGGAAAAUAAGUAUUUGGUCAACAACAAAAGUUUAUCUCAAUACUUUGUUAUAUACCCUUUGUUGGCAAUGACAGUGGUCAAACGUUUUCUGUAAGUCUUCACAAGGUUUUCACACACUGUUGCUCGUAUUUUGGCCCAUUCCUCCUUGCAGAUCUCCUCUAGAGCAGUGAUGUUUUGGGGCUGUUGCUGGGCAACAUGGACUUUCAACUCCCUCCAAAGAUUUUCUAUGGAGUUGAGAUCUGGAGACUCCAGGACCUUGAAAUGCUUCUUACGAAGCCACUCCUUCGUUGCCCCGGUGGUGUGUUUGGGAUCAUUGUCAUGCUGAAAGACCCAGCCACGUUUCAUCUUCAAUGCCCUUGCUGAUGGAAGGAGAUUUUCACUCAAAAUCUCACGAUACAUGGCCCCAUUCAUUCUUUCCUUUACAUGGAUCAGUCAUACUGGUCUCUUUGCAGAAGAACAGCCCCAAAGCAUGAUGUUUCCACCCCCAUGCUUCACAGUAGGUAUGGUGUUCUUUGGAUGCAACUCAGCAUUCUUUGUCCUCCAAACACGACGAGUUGAGUUUUUACCAAAAAGUAAUAUUUUGGUUUCAUCUGACCAUAUGACAUUCUUCCAAUCUUCUUCUGGAUCAUCCAAAUGCUCUCUAGCAAACUUCAGACGGGCCUGGACAUGUACUGGCUUAAGCAGGGGGACACGUCUGGCACUGCAGAAUUUGAGUCCCUGGCGGCGUAGUGUGUUACUGAUGGUUGGCUUUGUUACUUUGGUCCCAGCUCUCUGCAGGUCAUUCACUAGGUCCCCCCGUGUGGUUCUGGGAUUUUUGCUCACCGUUAUUGUGAUAAUUUUGACCCCACGGGGUGAGAUCUUGCGUGGAGCCCCAGAUCGAGGGAGAUUAUCAGUGGUCUUGUAUGUCUUCCAUUUCCUAAUAAUUGCUCCCACAGUUGGUUUCUUCAAACCAAGCUGCUUACCUAUUGCAGAUUCAGUCUUCCCAGCCUGGUGCAGGUCUACAAUUUUGUUUCUGGUGUACUUUCACAGCUCUUUGGUCUUGGCCAUAGUGGCGUUUGGACUGUGACUGUUUGAGGUUGUGGACAGGUGUCUUUUUAUACUGAUAACAAGUUCAAACAGGUGCCAUUAAUACAGGUAACGAGUGGAGGACAGAGGAGCCCCUUAAAGAAGAAGUUACAGGUCUGUGAGAGCCAGAAAUCUUGCUUGUUUGUAGGUGACCAAAUACUUAUUUUCCACCAUAAUUUGCAAAUAAAUUCAUUAAAAAUCAUACAAUGUGAUUUUCUGGAUUUUUUUUUCUCUCAUUUUGUUUGUCAUAGUUGAAGUGUACCUAUGAUGAAAAUCUUUUGAAGUGGGAGAACAUGCACAAUUGGUGGCUGACUAAAUAUUUUUUUGCCCCACUGUACAUGGGGCUUUGGUGACAAAAGGGAUGGCACUGUGAUAGACUACAUCCAAUUUGCUGAGUAGAGUGUCGGAGGCUAUUUUGUAAAUUACAUCGUCGAAGAUCGGUAAGAUACCCUAGUAAAACUGGCUAUGUUUGGCAGCAUGAGUGAAGGAGGCUUUGUUGCGAGAUAGGAAGCCGAUUCUAGAUUUAAUUUUGGAUUGGAUUUGCUUAAUGUGAGUCUGGAAGGAGAGUUUACAGUCUAACCAGACACCUAGGUAGUUGUCCACAUAUUCUAAGUCAGAACCGUCCAGAGUAGUGAUGCUAGACGGGCGGGCGGGCUACGGGCAGCGAUCGGUUGAAGAGCAUGCAUUUAGUUUUACUUGCAUUUAAGAGCAGUUGGAGGCCACGGAAGGAGUGUUGUAUGGCAUUGAAGCUCGUCUGGAGUUUUGUUAACACAGUGUCCAAAGAAGAGCCAGAAGUAUACAGAAUGGUGUCGUCUGCAUAGAGGUGGAUCAGAGAAUCACCAGCAGCAAGAGCGACAUCAUUGAUGUAUACAGAGAAAAGAGUCGGCCCGAGAUUUGAACCCUGUGGCACCCCCAUAGACUUCCAGAGGUCCGGACAACAGGCCAUACGAUUUGACACACUGAACUCUAUCUGAGAAGUAGUUGCGAGGCAGUCAUUUUAGAAACCAAGGCUGUUGGGUCUGCCGAUAAGAAUGCGGUGAUUGACAGAGUUGAAAGCCUUGGCCAGGUCGAUGAAGCCGGCUGCACAGUAUUGUCUUUUAUUGAUGGUGGUUAUGAUAUCAUUUAGGACCUUGAGCGUGGCUGUGGUGCGCACAUGACCAGCUAGGAAACCAGAUUGCAUAGUGGAGAAGGUACGGUGGGAUUUGAAAUGGUCAGUGAUCUGUUUAAUUUGGCUUUCGAAGAUUUUACUUUAGGUGGAUUCACUCACACUAGUCUGAACAUGACAGUGACAAAGAAAAUGACCACACACCCACAUCACAGAUGUCACUGUGACAUCAGGGGAUUUGUGUUUAGAAAUUGAGUAUUGUUUUGCCUGGGGUGUUAUGUUUUUCUCAGAGCUUUUUUUUUUCUUUCUGCUCUUUGUGUCUCUGUCAUGGGGGCUUGUAGAGUGGCAGACUACAGUCAGUGGCAGUGAAAGUACAGCUCAACCCACAGGAAAACCAAGCCAGUACAGUAUUCAGACAUAUCCUUAUCUGUCUGACAUAAACCCCAAUCCUACCUCUCUGCCUCUCUCUCUCUGCCUAUUCACCCCCUUCGUUUAAUGUCCCCACACAGGGACAUGGGAGAGCGAUAUCGAAGGGAGAUGCUAGCUCAUGGAGGUAGUAAGGAGCCCAUGCUUAUGGUGCAAGGCAUGCUUCAGAGAUCCCCUACCCUUGAAGAAUUAGUGGACGCUCUAGUAGCUGACCUGGACACAGACUCAGUAAC